UGCCUGUAUCAAAUUGGUCUACAUUAAGGUCAAAGGGGUCCAAAAUAAAUUUUAUCAAAAAUCGUUGUAUAGGGGUUCUUUGAUAUGCUAAAUCUAACUGUGGUUUUAGAUUUUUUUUUUUUUUUUUAAAUUUAUUUGAUUUUAUCAAAAAUUGGAUUCUUGGGACUCUUUGAUAUGCUGAAUCAAUCCAUGGCCAUGUAUUUAGAUUUCGGAUAUUGGACCAUAAACGGUAAAGGAGAAAGGACUAUAAUGGCAAAAAUUUCAUUAGACCACAUUCAUUCUGUGUCAGAAACCUAUGCUGUGUCAACUCUUUAAUCACAAUCAAAAUUCAGAGCUGUAUCAAGCUUGAAUGUUGUGUCCA
Molecule: long non-coding RNA, 361 nt
Filed under: Mytilus galloprovincialis (Mediterranean mussel)
Lineage: Eukaryota; Metazoa; Mollusca; Bivalvia; Mytilida; Mytilidae
Source: RNAcentral